This 142-nucleotide small RNA is filed under the name Staphylococcus capitis. RNAcentral's name for it is "Ribosomal protein L10 leader". It matches the Rfam family "Ribosomal protein L10 leader". From Rfam's summary of the family: This family is a putative r-protein leader autoregulatory structure found in B. subtilis and other low-GC Gram-positive bacteria. It is located in the 5' untranslated regions of mRNAs encoding ribosomal proteins L10 and L12 (rplJ-rplL). A Rho-independent transcription terminator structure that is probably involved in regulation is included at the 3' end. Lineage: Bacteria; Bacillati; Bacillota; Bacilli; Caryophanales; Staphylococcaceae. The record is from RNAcentral.
AAUUGUGAUUAUUUUACCUAAGACAGUAGGAGUUAUUUAUAACUUAAAACUCAUCCUACCGAGGCUAAAAUUGACUUGAACGUGAUGAUUAAUGAUCUUUCAAGCACUUUUUGCCGUGGGUAGAAAGUGCUUUUUUUAUUGC